UGACUNGAGUGCAGAAGGGGAGAGUGGAAUUCCAUGUGUAGCGGUGAAAUGCGUAGAUAUAUGGAGGAACACCNGUGGCGAAAGCGGCUCUCUGGUCUGUCACUGACGCUGAGGCUCGAAAGCGUGGGUAGCGAACAGGAUUAGAUACCCUGGUAGUNCACGCCGUAAACGAUGAGUGCUAGGUGUUAGGCCCUUUCCGGGGCUUAGUGCCGGAGCUAACGCAAUAAGCACUCCGCCUGGGGAGUACGACCGCAAGGUUGAAACUCAAAGGAAUUGACGGGGGCCCGCACAAGCGGUGGAGCAUGUGGUUUAAUUCGAAGCAACGCGAAGAACCUUACCAGGUCUUGACAUCCCGAUGCUAUUCUUAGAGAUAGGAAGUUACUUCGGUACAUCGGAGACAGGUGGUGCAUGGUUGUCGUCAGCUCGUGUCGUGAGAUGUUGGGUUAAGUCCCGCAACGAGCGCAACCCUUAUUGUUAGUUGCCAUCAUUAAGUUGGGCACUCUAGCGAGACUGCCGGUAAUAAACCGGAGGAAGGUGGGGAUGACGUCAAAUCAUCAUGCCCCUUAUGACCUGGGCUACACACGUGCUACAAUGGUCGGUACAACGAGUUGCGAGCCGGUGACGGCAAGCUAAUCUCUGAAAGCCGAUCUCAGUUCGGAUUGGAGGCUGCAACUCGCCUCCAUGAAGUCGGAAUCGCUAGUAAUCGCGGAUCAGCACGCCGCGGUGAAUACGUUCCCGGGCCUUGUACACACCGCCCGUCACACCACGAGAGUUUGUAACACCCGAAGUCGGUGAGGUAACCUUUUAGGGGCCAGCCG
This 818-nucleotide ribosomal RNA is filed under the name uncultured bacterium. RNAcentral's name for it is "bacterial SSU rRNA". It matches the Rfam family "Bacterial small subunit ribosomal RNA", at positions 638 to 1455 of the family's 1533-position model. The record is from RNAcentral.